CCCUUAGAUGUUCUGGGCCGCACGCGCGCUACACUGAUGCAUUCAACGAGCCUAGCCUUGACCGAGAGGUCCGGGUAAUCUUUGAAACUGCAUCGUGAUGGGGCUAGAUUAUUGCAAUUAUUAAUCUUCAACGAGGAAUGCCUAGUAAGCGUGAUUCAUCAAAUCGCGUUGAUUACGUCCCCGCCCUUUGUACACACCGCCCGUCGCUCCUACCGAUUGAGUGUGUUGGUGAGGAGUUUGGAUUGGCCUCGGAAGGUGGUUCGCCACCGUCCGUAGCUGAGAAGUUCUCCAAACCGCCCCACUUAGAGGAAGGAGAAGUCGUAACA
RNAcentral lists this ribosomal RNA (326 nucleotides) under uncultured eukaryote. RNAcentral describes it as "partial 18S ribosomal RNA". It matches the Rfam family "Eukaryotic small subunit ribosomal RNA", at positions 1470 to 1796 of the family's 1831-position model. The record is from RNAcentral.